Molecule: ribosomal RNA, 329 nt
Filed under: uncultured eukaryote
Lineage: Eukaryota
Description: partial 18S ribosomal RNA
Rfam family: Eukaryotic small subunit ribosomal RNA
Source: RNAcentral
CCCUUAGAUGUUCUGGGCUGCACGCGCGCUACACUGAUGCAUUCAACGAGUCUAAAACCUGCUCUGAUAGGGGUGGGUAAUCUUUUGAAUGUGCAUCGUGAUUGGGAUAGAUGAUUGCAAUUUUUCAUCUUCUUCGAGGAAUGCCUAGUAAACGCAAGUCAUCAGCUUGCAUUGAUUACGUCCCUGCCCUUUGUACACACCGCCCGUCGCUCCUACCGAUUGAAUGAUCCGAUGAAUAUCAUGGAUUGAGGAUGCAAGCAGGUUCGCCUGUCUUCAUCUUCGAGAAGUGAAGUAAAUCUUAUCAUUUAGAGGAAGGAGAAGUCGUAACA